CCUACGAAACAGCUGUUUGCACAUAAGCUUAACAGUUCCCUGUGAGAUGCUGUGAAAGUCAGCAGGGAAGUGCGAUGUAGAAGAAACGACUGCCAGAAGCUUGCUAAGGAACCGCACAACCUGUGUGGGCAGCAGACAAAAUAUUCAUCAAACGAAGUUUUGCACCAAAGUUAUGAGAGCAGCACAGAUGUUGUUUUAG
Long non-coding RNA from Ornithodoros turicata, 199 nucleotides. RefSeq lists it as uncharacterized. The transcript has 3 exons. The record is from RefSeq and is a predicted model, not a curated record. NCBI's taxonomy places the organism in Eukaryota, Metazoa, Arthropoda, Arachnida, Ixodida, Argasidae.